This 376-nucleotide ribosomal RNA is filed under the name uncultured organism. RNAcentral describes it as "partial 16S ribosomal RNA". It matches the Rfam family "Bacterial small subunit ribosomal RNA", at positions 527 to 897 of the family's 1533-position model. The record is from RNAcentral.
GUAGGUGGCAAGCGUUGUCCGGGAAUUAUUGGGGCGUAAAGCGCGCGCAGGCGGUUCAUUAAGUCUGAUGUGAAAGCCCACGGGCUCAACCGUGGAGGGUCAUUGGAAACUGGAGAACUUGAGUACAGAAGAGGAAAGCGGAAUUCCACGUGUAGCGGUGAAAUGCGUAGAGAUGUGGAGGAACACCAGUGGCGAAGGCGGCUUUCUGGUCUGUAACUGACGCUGAGGCACGAAAGCGUGGGGAGCAAACAGGAUUAGAUACCCUGGUAGUCCACGCCGUAAACGAUGAGUGCUAAGUGUUAGGGGGUUUCCGCCCCUUAGUGCUGCAGCUAACGCAUUAAGCACUCCGCCUGGGGAGUACGGCCGCAAAGGCUGA